CGAAAUUUCCGGUGUUUGUUUUGUGUAAAAUGAAUUCCCAUAGGAAAACAUUUUACAAACACGGGUAAAAUCAAAAGCAAAUUUUAGAAAUUGUCUUACCGAUUUCUAAUCCGUAAGACAUUUUCCCUCUUCUCUUCUAAGUAGUGGUUCUCCCUCUUCCUCUGACUCCUCAUCUCCGUUCGUUGGCCUCACCGCACCAUCUUUGCAUCGUCAUCUCUGUCGGUCGACCGUCGGCCUUGCCUCUGUAUUCUAAAGAAACCCUAAAACAUUAGGGUCCACAGUCAAGAAAAAUUCAUCUCUGAUCUCCUCGAGAGAGUUAAGGCAUUGCAUAUUCGGGACAUGGAUGUUGUAGUUGAGCCCGGAAUUGGAUGGAUGGAACUUAAUGAAUACUUGGAGCCUUAUGGUUUAUUUUUCCCUCUUGAUCCAGGGCCUGGUGCAACAAUAGGAGGCAUGUGCUUAACACGCUGCUCUGGAUCUUUAGCCAUGAUGUAGUUGCUACUCUACUACUGUCUUUCUUUGCAUUCCCUAGUUGCCCCCUUAGUCUGUUGAAAA
Molecule: long non-coding RNA, 552 nt
Organism: Gossypium raimondii (Peruvian cotton)
Lineage: Eukaryota; Viridiplantae; Streptophyta; Magnoliopsida; Malvales; Malvaceae
Exons: 3
Source: RefSeq, a predicted model, not a curated record